AUGAUGAAACUCGACUGCAAAAUAUCCCUGAAGAUGUUCUAGCUUCUCAGUUUAAGGAACUCCUUAGGUAUUGGAACUCAGAGAAACUCCAUAGAAUGUCCCAAAUUAAUAUUGAGAACCGAAAAAAGUUGAAGAAUUCUCACACUGCUGGAAAAAGAAGUUUUGCUUUAGUUCGCUCUAAGUUGGAAAACGAUAAGGAAACUUCGG
This is a long non-coding RNA of Nicotiana attenuata, 207 nucleotides long. RefSeq lists it as uncharacterized. NCBI's taxonomy places the organism in Eukaryota, Viridiplantae, Streptophyta, Magnoliopsida, Solanales, Solanaceae. The record is from RefSeq and is a predicted model, not a curated record. The transcript is spliced from 3 exons.